Molecule: ribosomal RNA, 111 nt
Filed under: Peribacillus frigoritolerans
Lineage: Bacteria; Bacillati; Bacillota; Bacilli; Caryophanales; Bacillaceae
Also listed under: 3 other names
Source: RNAcentral
UGGUGGCGAUAGCGAAGAGGUCACACCCGUUCCCAUUCCGAACACGGCAGUUAAGCUCUUCAGCGCCAAUGGUAGUUGGGGGUUUCCCCCUGUGAGAGUAGGACGCCGCCA